AUCUCCAGCUAACAGGUAAAAAA
RNAcentral lists this small nuclear RNA (23 nucleotides) under Arabidopsis thaliana (thale cress). RNAcentral describes it as "snRNA_05373". The record is from RNAcentral. Lineage: Eukaryota; Viridiplantae; Streptophyta; Magnoliopsida; Brassicales; Brassicaceae.